Molecule: long non-coding RNA, 1387 nt
Organism: Astatotilapia calliptera (eastern happy)
Lineage: Eukaryota; Metazoa; Chordata; Actinopteri; Cichliformes; Cichlidae
Source: Ensembl
UGUUUUGAAAGGAGGCUACAAAUGAAAUAUGCAACAGUUUCUCCUCAGGGAUGAGAACAUACAACACGUUCUCACUCCCAACUCGUCAAACGUGUGACGCAUGGUCAGGCUCCCUCUGCUGCACUUAUGGACGCGCAGGGUACCCCUCUCGCGUUGGGAAUUGACGUGAAGGGUCCUCCGAUUGAAGAGAUUGCUGCGGAAGUGCCUGCUGUCGGUAUAUUUAGACAUUUUCCAAAUCACAUUGUAGUGACGUAUACAGAACACAAUAAAUUAUAUAAUGUAAACAACUACCUGAAAAACAGGUAGAACGAUGCUUUUGUAUCGUUUAUUGCAUUUACGGAGGGAGUGAUGUAUGCUGGGUAAUGGCACAGCUAGCUACUGGGUGACUUUAUUCACCCGCUUCGGCUGUUAUCAGUCCAUACAAUGGGCGUUAUUAGCACAAACCAGUCCCAUAGAUAUGGGCCAUCUCCUGCUAGAUUGUUCAGAAGGUUGUUCUCAUCCAUCCAGAUGGAGGAUCACUAACAGGAGCGUGGAAGACUCCAGAAUCCACUCUGGCUGGAAUCCGGUGGAUAUGCAGUGUUUACAGGUACAGUACGUGAUAUCAAGGGCAGGCGGUCAACACUGGGGGUAGACAAGAAGCAGACGUACUUCCAAGAGGGAGCUGCAGUGAGGACACAGCCAGGUCACUGAGGAGGCGCUGGAAGGUUUCCCUAAUAGUUCCUGGUGAAUCAAAGCAGAACCAUAAAGGUUGCUGGACUGCAUGAUGGCCUUACCCCUGAGCAGUCAUCCUGUUAAAGGAGGAACCACUUAGCUGUUUUCAAAGUAGCUGAGCAGAUUUCAUCUCAACAGACAAAGCCGAUUGCAGAAGAUGUCGGAGAAGAACUUCAGGCCGUGUACUGAAAAGUAGAUCAAAGCAGCUUGUGCUCCUUCUGCUUCCAAUUUAGAAGAAGAAGGCGAAGGCUUCAGCGAAGUGGCGUUCAUGGUCUCAGUGAACAGUCAUGGCCACACACUGCAUGUGGUUUUAAAAGCAACAUGUCUGUUCACCACAACAAUGGAGAUGUGUAAUAUUAGUGCAGCUACGGUUUGUUUUUGAACAUCAGUUCUGUUUUCUACUUUGAUCACUUAGACCAAAAAAGUGUUGUUUUCAGAUUCUUUCUUUUACAUCUAUAAACCACCUGUUCAUUUUUUUUAUUACAAUUAGUUUCACAUGAAUGUUAGUGUUUCCUUUAUGAUCUUUUAAUGCUUACACUACACUGUACAUGUCUACAUUAGAGACAUUUCUGUUACCUGUUUCUGUUGACUCAGAGUUGUGAAAUGUUCUUUUAUUUGAUGCACAAUAUGAAGCUCAUAAUUUUCUUACAAAUAAAACUCUAAUGACAAACAUGAA